GCUAGAUAAGAGAGAAGAGCUAUCUAAAGGCUACUCCAGUAGCUCUAGAAAGUCUGGAAAUUUAAGUAAAGUUAUAUAUAAGAUUCUUUUUGGUAGGCAGUCAUGUGAAUGAUUCCGCACAACUUUUUAAUUUGAAGUGUGGCUUUGUUUUCUCAGUUACAUACCUCAUCAAGCCGGCAGCACUCAUUCUUGUCUCUUUUUACUGCAUGUUUGCUCUCUUCAGACUUCAGACUCUGACCAUGAGGACUGCAGGGUCUGAAUAUGCAUGCAGGUAAUGGUCUCAAAAACAAAGAAGGAAUAAUGUUCUUUUCUUUCACAUUAUAGUAAGAGCUGGAUUGAUUUUAAUCUUUUUCAAACCAUGUUCAAACAAUGUUAAUUGAUGGCUCAUGCUCGCCCCCUCAAUGCUUACAUUCACCAGGAACUUGAAGAGCUUCUUACUAUGGCUACCACCUUUCCUGCCCUGAGCCUUCACUGUGCACUGAUAAUGGAGUGAUGAUUGCUUGGGCCGGAAUAAAGCACAUUAAAGCUGGCCUCCCUUUAAUGCAUGAAGGAUUUAUUUACAUUGGAAUUCAUUCCAUCAAAGUGGCCACUGGGCAAGUAUAUUUUUAGUAUUGUGGCUGAUGAAAGAAUUAAAGUGAAAGUAAAAAUGAAGUACUAAUGUACAUACAUACACACACAUUACAUGUACUCAUUAUUAUUAUCACUUUAUUAUUAUCUUGGGGCCCUGUGCUGACUGGUCUUUUUGUUCUGUACAGUUCUUAUUCUUAUCCUUGCAUGUGUAUUUUUAAGAUUUUGUUCGUAAAAUGGC
This is a long non-coding RNA of Amphimedon queenslandica, 808 nucleotides long. RefSeq lists it as uncharacterized. The record is from RefSeq and is a predicted model, not a curated record. Lineage: Eukaryota; Metazoa; Porifera; Demospongiae; Haplosclerida; Niphatidae. The transcript has 3 exons.